CUGGCCGUAAACGAUGGAUACUAGGUGUGGGAGGUAUCGACCCCUUCCGUGCCGGAGUUAACGCAAUAAGUAUCCCGCCUGGGGAGUACGGCCGCAAGGCUGAAACUCAAAGGAAUUGACGGGGACCCGCACAAGCGGUGGAGUAUGUGGUUUAAUUCGACGCAACGCGAAGAACCUUACCAGGGCUUGACAUUGAGUGAAAUACUAAGAGAUUAGUACCUGUUCUUCGGAACACACAAAAACAGGUGG
RNAcentral lists this ribosomal RNA (249 nucleotides) under uncultured Veillonellaceae bacterium. Its description in RNAcentral is "partial 16S ribosomal RNA". It matches the Rfam family "Bacterial small subunit ribosomal RNA", at positions 796 to 1041 of the family's 1533-position model. Lineage: Bacteria; Bacillati; Bacillota; Negativicutes; Veillonellales; Veillonellaceae. The record is from RNAcentral.